Molecule: long non-coding RNA, 2187 nt
Organism: Orcinus orca (killer whale)
Lineage: Eukaryota; Metazoa; Chordata; Mammalia; Artiodactyla; Delphinidae
Exons: 2
Source: RefSeq, a predicted model, not a curated record
GUGUGGGGAGAGGGAUGUGGUCCCACCUGCUGCUUCCUCUCUGGCCCAGAAGUCUUCCUUGGGUGCAGUCACAGAGGUGUCUUUGGCUGUCACAGCUCUGGCUACUGAACAGGAAGUGCAGCAAAAAAGCCCCAAACAUAACUCCACGGAAGCACCCAGACCCCCCUUCCUCCCCUUCUCCUUCCCUACCCUAGCUUCACGCAUGCCUCCCUCCACCCCUGAGUUAACAUCCUGGGGGGUCCACUGUACGGGCCCCUGACUUUGCACCCUAACCGAGGACCUGACAUAAACCGUCUCCUGGCCUUGAUAUGAGCCCAAACUUCCUAGGGGUUCAGGCCCCCAGGGGGCAGGAAGCCUGGCAGGGGUUAGGAGAGGGAAGGUGGAGGGUGGGCGAAGAUUUCAGUCUCUCUGGGGUAUGUGUGGGGACCUGGGCAGUCUCCCAACCCCUCCUGGAUCUACUCACAGACAAACCUUGGGGCUUCCGGUGGGACAUGAGCUCGGGUGAGCCCAGCUGGAGACAGCGUCUUGUGCCCCUUAGGGAUACUGGAGCCCUGUCCUGCUUGAUCCUUACAAGUCCAGGGACAGAAAUCUCCAUCCCUCACCUUCCACUGCGAGUCAGCCUCCUUUGCCCCUGGUCCCCUGUCACUGGCGACAGGAGGCAAAAUCCUGAUCAUCCAGGAGGCCGAGACAAGGUGGAAGUGGGACAGGCGCUGGCCAGAGUUAAGAAUGGGGGAGGCUCGGGCCCCUGAAAUUGGUCCUCAGAGAAGCAAGGGGGAGUUUUCUUAUUUUCUCUACUUCCUCCUUCCUUCUAUUUCUCUCUCCAGGUCAUUACCCCCCAACAGCUGAUGUAUCUCUGCUCACUCUCAUCCACCCCUUGUUUCUUGCCUCCCUGCCUGCCUGUCCCUCUGGGACAGUCCUGGUCCAGGGCUCCUCCAUCUCUCAGCCCUGGGAUAGGAGAGGCAUCCUGGCCCCGCAGCCCGGCUGGAUGGCGUUAUGGGAAUGGCACGCCCGUGUCACAGUUUCAGUGCCUCGUCUGUGCGUUUUCCCCCUUUGGCCCAGGCAGGCCUGGGAUAAUGCAGGACAGCAAUGCAUAGUUGCUGGAUGAAUGUGCCAGUGAGCACAUCCUAGUCUGCCUGAGGCUCUGGGGCGGGACGUGGCUCUUGGCGAGACAGACAGGGACUCCGGGCGAGGAAGACUCUUAGCCUCACCCCAGGGCAUGAUGGGAAGGCCGGGCCACUUCUCCAGGAAGCUUCCCAGAUGAACCUGCUUAGGUUUUCUGCCCCUCUCUCCUCCUCUCUCCAAAAUGCACACCCACACCUAUGCCCUCGCCUGGGUCAGUGCCCUCUCUCUUUGUGCAAUCCGUGGCUUGGUGGAAAGAAUUUCUGAGGGUCCCAGAACUGGGGACUGGGAAGCUGAGAGUAGACUGGGAAGGGCUGCGGCCAAGAAGGGGGACCAAUAGCAAGGAUGGAGACAUUAAAAACCGUGCCUGUGAAGCUCCCUCCACGUGCCAGGCAGGCUGUGGAGGCACGGGAGAGGCACUGACCCGGGGGAAGGUGUUUGGGGCAGUGAGCAAAGGCUUGAAGGAAGAGGAAGACGUGUCCAGGAAGGGUGUGGGGAGGUUCUUUCAGGCUAAGAUGGCAGCAAACCUUUCGUGUAGGACGGUGACGAUGACGGGAGCCAGCCAGCGUGGCUGGGGUGUCAGAGGUGCUACGGAGCUCAGGGGAGCAGCAGCGUCCUCGGGGACCCAGGAGGGCUGCAAUGCAGGCAUCUCAUCACUUGGCAUAAAGUUCUUCAGUGGCUCUCCGUGGAUUAAGGCCCUGCCCAUUCCCACCCCCACCAAACUGGCCCCGUUUCCCUGAACCUGACGAGCGACAUCAUGUGUCCGUGCUGGCGCAGAUACAGAACAUUUCCAUCGCCGCGUACAAUUCUAUCAGCCAGUGCCGAUCUGCAAAGAAGGCAUCCGAGAUGGGCCAAGAGGCUGCAGAGCCCUGGAGGCUGUGAACUGGUCCAGGGUAGACCAGGGGGCAGCAUGGGGGUGCUGGCAGAGCUGGUUUCUGGUCUGGGCUCUGCUACUCACCAGCUGCGUGGUUUGGGGCCAAACGCUUGGCCUCUCUGGGCCUUAGUAUCUUGUAAAAUUAGAUUGUACUGGAUGAUUUGAAUUUUGUUUAAUUAAAAAUUUUUUUUCCA